RNAcentral lists this ribosomal RNA (383 nucleotides) under uncultured bacterium. RNAcentral's name for it is "bacterial SSU rRNA". It matches the Rfam family "Bacterial small subunit ribosomal RNA", at positions 774 to 1167 of the family's 1533-position model. The record is from RNAcentral.
AGGAAAUAGAUACCCGGGUAGUCCACGCCCUAAACGAUGAUGACUGGCUUUCCGGAGUAUCGACCCUCUGGGAGGCGAAAGCUAAACGCGUUAAGUCAUCCGCCUGGGUAGUACGGCCGCAAGGCUAAAACUCAAAGGAAUAGACGGGAGCUCGCACAAGUGGUGGAGCGUGUGGCUCAAUUCGUCGCUAAACGAAGAACCUUACCAGGGUUAGAAAUCCUACUGCACGCCUAGGGAAACCUAGGAAGCUUUCGAAGGUGUAGGACAGGUGAUGCACGGCUGUCGUCAGUCCGUGGUUUGAAAUCGUUCCCUUCAGUGGGGUAACGAACGCAACCCUCGUUGCCAGUUACAAGUGUCUGGCGAGACUGCCCCCUCACGGGGGA